This 1783-nucleotide long non-coding RNA is filed under the name Junco hyemalis (dark-eyed junco). Its description in RNAcentral is "lncRNA (ENSJHYG00000004782.1)". The record is from RNAcentral. Lineage: Eukaryota; Metazoa; Chordata; Aves; Passeriformes; Passerellidae.
UGCCAGCAGCGCUGACCCUGGACCCUGGCACUGCCCACCACCGCCUCAUCCUGUCGGACGACUGCACCAUCGUGGCCUACGGCAACCUGCACCCGCAGCCGCUGCAGGACUCGCCGCGCCGCUUCGACGUCGAGGUGUCGGUGCUGGGCGCCGAGGCCUUCGGGGCCGGCGUGCACUACUGGGAGGUGGUGGUGUCCGAAAAAACCCAGUGGAUGAUCGGCCUGGCGCACGAGGCCGUCACCCGCAAGGGCAGCAUCCAGAUCCAGCCCAGCCGCGGCUUCUACUGCAUCGUGAUGCACGACGGGAACCAGUACAGCGCCUGCACCGAGCCCUGGACGCGGCUCAACGUCAAGGGCAAGCUGGAGAAGGUGGGCGUCUUCCUGGACUACGACAAGGGGCUGCUCAUCUUCUACAAUGCCGACGACAUGUCCUGGCUCUACACCUUCAGGGAGAGGUUUCCCGGCAAGCUGUGCUCCUAUUUCAGCCCUGGGCAGAGCCACGCCAACGGCAAGAACGUGCAGCCGCUGCGGAUCAACACCGUCCGUAUCUAGGGGGGGUUUUGGGGUGUCCCCCCCGGCUCUGGCGGGUGUUCCCCCACUCCAGGAACUGGUGCCGGUGCUGGGCAGGGUCUGGCGUUGUGCCUGCUGCUCUCGGUCCUGUGCUUCCAGGGAAUCCCAGUGCGGGGGGCUGGGAUCGGCAAUAAAGGAUUUGGAGAGAAGGGGCUGGGUGGUGGAGAGCCCCAGGGUGGGGGGGCUGGGCUGGGGCACCGUGGGGUGACAUGGCAGGGGUGUGUCACCGUGCUGGGGAUGCCACUCUGUGCUGGGGACAUUGUGGCACUGUGCCAUGGCAGAGGUGUGUCACCAUGCUGGGGUGCCACACUGAGCUGGGGACAUUGUGGCACUGUGCCAUGGCAGAGGUGUGUCACCGUGCUGGGGGUGCCACUCUGUGCUGGGGACAUUGUGCCCUGGUCUGUGACACUGUGGCAUGGCAGGAGUCUGUCACUGUGCUGGGGUGCCACACUGUGCUGGGGACAUUGUGGCACUGUGCCAUGGUGUUCUGUGCCAUGGCAGGGGUCUGUCACCAUGCUGGGGUGCCACACUGAGCUGGGGACAUUGUGCCCUGGUCUCUGUGACACUGUGGCAUGGCAGGGGUCGGUCACUGUGCUGGGGUGCCACUCUGUGCUGGGGACAUUGUGGCAUUGUGCCAUGGUGGGCUGUGCCAUGCCAGGGGUGCCACACUAUGCUGGGACAUUGUGCCAUGGCAGGGGUCUGUCACCAUGCUGGGGGUACCAUGGGUGUCACACCCAUGUGUCAGGGGUCACCAUGCUGUGGGACAUGUACUGUGCCACAUGUACAGCCCCGUGCCCUGAUAUGCCAUGCCAUGCCACGUGUGUAUGCCAGGCUGUGCCAGCCCUGGCAGGGCUCUGUGUGCACUGCAGUGUCCAGGGGCUGUGUGGGAGCUGGGCUGUGCAGGGUGGGCUGUACAGGGGGGCUGAUCUGUGGGCAGUGGGCUGCACACAGGGAUGCUCUGUGCCUGGGUGUGGAACACGGGGGGCUCUGUGAUGUUUUGUGGGGACUCUGUAGGGAUAAGGUGUAUGGGGUUGUGUGUAGGGGCUGGGCUGUGUGGGGCUGUCAUAGGGGUGUGGUGUAUGGAGGGAGCUGUGUGGGGCAGUGCUAACGGGGUGGGCUGUGCAGUAGGGGCAUAGAAGGGGCUGAUCUUGAGGGCCUGGGCUGUGCCAGGACUGUGGGAUAACGGGGGAUGUGUGGCCGUACAGGGGGUGAGC